This 468-nucleotide ribosomal RNA is filed under the name uncultured bacterium. Its description in RNAcentral is "partial 16S ribosomal RNA". It matches the Rfam family "Bacterial small subunit ribosomal RNA", at positions 28 to 507 of the family's 1533-position model. The record is from RNAcentral.
GACGAACGCUGGCGGCGUGCUUAACACAUGCAAGUCGAACGGAAAGGCGCUGCUUUUGUUUUUUGCUCGUUAGGCGAACGGGUGAGUAACACGUGAGUAACCUGCCCUUGACUUUGUGAUAACAUUAGGAAACUGCGGCUAAUACCGGAUAGGAUCUCCUGCUGCAUGUGGUUGGUUGGAAAGUUUCGGCGGUUGUGGAUGGACUGGCUGGUUAUGAGCUUGUUUGUGGGGUAGUUGCUUACCAGGGGUUUGACGGGUAGGCGGCCUGAGAGGGUGAACGGCCACAUUGGGCCUGAGAUACGGCGCAGACUGCUACGGGACGCAGCAGGGGGGAGUAUGACACAACAGGCGGAAGUGUGAUACAGCAACGCCGGGUGCGUGAUGACGGCUUACGGGUUGUAAACAGAUGUCGCAUGUAACGAGGAGUGCGUGACGGUAAUGAGUAAAGAAGCACCGGCUAACUACGUG